UACGUAGGGUGCGAGCGUUAAUCGGAAUUACUGGGCGUAAAGCGUGCGCAGGCGGUUUUGUAAGCCAGAUGUGAAAUCCCCGGGCUCAACCUGGGAAUGGCAUUUGGGACUGCAAGGCUGGAGUUUGGCAGAGGAGACUGGAAUUCAUGGUGUAGCAGUGAAAUGCGUAGAGAUCAUGAGGAAGACCAGUGGCGAAGGCGGGUCUCUGGACAGUUCCUGACACUGAGGCACGAGGGCCAGGGGAGCAAACGGG
RNAcentral lists this ribosomal RNA (253 nucleotides) under uncultured bacterium. Its description in RNAcentral is "partial 16S ribosomal RNA". It matches the Rfam family "Bacterial small subunit ribosomal RNA", at positions 524 to 776 of the family's 1533-position model. The record is from RNAcentral.